ACUACGGGUGGCAGCAGUGAGGAAUAUUGGACAAUGGGCGGGAGCCUGAACCAGCCAAGUCGCGUGAGUGAAGACGGUCCUAGGGAUGUUAAGCCUCUUUAGCCGGGGAGAAAUGCCGGGCACGUGUGCCCGGAGGGAGAGUACCCUCAGAAUAAGCAUCGGCUAACUCCGUGCCGGAACCCGCGGUAAUCCGGGGGAUGCGAUCGUUAUGCGGUUUAAUUGGGUUUACAGGUUUCGUAGGCGGAUUUUUAAGUCAGCGGUAAGAUGGCGGGGAUAAACCCUGGACGGCCGUGGAGACUGGGGAUCUUGAGUGGGCGAGAGGUAUGCGGAAUGCGUGGUGUAGCGGUGAAAUGCAUAGAUAUUACGAAGAACUCCGAUUGCGAAGGCAGCAUACCGGCGCCCGACUGACGCUGAGGCACGAAAGCGUGGGGAUCGAACAGGAUUAGAUACCCUAGUAGUC
This 460-nucleotide ribosomal RNA is filed under the name uncultured bacterium. Its description in RNAcentral is "partial 16S ribosomal RNA". It matches the Rfam family "Bacterial small subunit ribosomal RNA", at positions 338 to 795 of the family's 1533-position model. The record is from RNAcentral.